UACGGAGGGUGCGAGCGUUAAUCGGAAUUACUGGGCGUAAAGCGCGCGUAGGCGGUUUGUUAAGUCAGCUGUGAAAGCCCCGGGCUCAACCUGGGAACUGCAGUUGAUACUGGCCGACUAGAGUACGAGAGAGGGAGGUAGAAUUCCAUGUGUAGCGGUGAAAUGCGUAGAUAUAUGGAGGAAUACCAGUGGCGAAGGCGGCCUCCUGGCUCGAUACUGACGCUGAGGAGCGAAAGCGUGGGGAGCGAACAGG
This 253-nucleotide ribosomal RNA is filed under the name uncultured bacterium. Its description in RNAcentral is "partial 16S ribosomal RNA". It matches the Rfam family "Bacterial small subunit ribosomal RNA", at positions 524 to 776 of the family's 1533-position model. The record is from RNAcentral.